AUUGAACGCUGGCGGUAUGCUUAAGACAUGCAAGUCGAACGGUAACAGGUUAAGCUGACGAGUGGCGGACGAGUGAGUAACGCGUGGGAAUCUACCUUGUAGUGGGGGAUAAGCCAGGGAAACUUGGACUAAUACCGCAUACGCCCUAAGGGGAAAGGCGCAAGUCGCUAUAAGAUGAGCCCGCGUCUGAUUAGGUAGUUGGUGGGGUAAAGGCCUACCAAGCCGACGAUCAGUAGCUGGUCUGAGAGGAUGAUCAGCCACGUCGGGACUGAGACACGGCCCGGACUCCUACGGGAGGCAGCAGUCGGGAAUAUUGGACAAUGGGGGAAACCCUGAUCCAGCAAUACCGCGUGUGUGAAGAAGGCCUGCGGGUUGUAAAGCACUUUCAGUUGGGAAGAUAAUGACGUUACCAACAGAAGAAGCACCGGCUAACUCCGUGCCAGCAGCCGCGGUAAGGUGACGCUCU
RNAcentral lists this ribosomal RNA (466 nucleotides) under uncultured bacterium. RNAcentral describes it as "bacterial SSU rRNA". It matches the Rfam family "Bacterial small subunit ribosomal RNA", at positions 30 to 535 of the family's 1533-position model. The record is from RNAcentral.